Molecule: long non-coding RNA, 7133 nt
Filed under: Canis lupus familiaris (dog)
Lineage: Eukaryota; Metazoa; Chordata; Mammalia; Carnivora; Canidae
Description: lncRNA (ENSCAFG00845026355.1)
Source: RNAcentral
ACCCUGGUCCAUUUCACAGCAAAUGGCCCCAAAUGGUGUUUAUCCCGCUCAUUAGGAGCCUGUAUCAAUUAAGCAGGCCUGGCUGAGCAGCCUGUCCAGGUCUGCGUCUGCUGGGCUGGCGAGUCUGUGUUCUCCUCACCCGCAAGCAGGCUGGGACACCCCACGGCCCUCGCCACCGCGGAGAGGCCCUGGUGCUUUCCACGAGACCAGGACAGAGCUCUGACAUCAGAGAGAAUCGUUGUGUGAUGCUUGCACUUCAUGGCUUUUUUUUUUUUUUUUAAGAUGUUAUUUAUUCAUGAGAGAUAUAGAAAGACAGAGGCACAGGCAGAGGGAGAAGCAGGCUCCCUGUGAGGAUCCUGAUGCGGGACUCGAUCCCAGGACACCGGGAUCACGACCUGAGCCAAAGGCAAACACUCAGCCACCGAGCCACCCAGGUGUUUCUACUUCACAGCUUUUUAAAAGCUUAUCAUCUGGUUCAGACUCACAACUCUAAGCUGCUGGUGCCCUGAGCCUUUUAGUUUUUGUUUUUAACCAGAAGAACCUCCCUCUUCUCUUCCUCCCCUGCUUCCCAGCCAGUGCCCUACAUGAGAAACCUUUCUCCAUCUUACUUGUGCACCCUCAGCUUGACCUUUUCCCCUUGCAAGGAAGCGAGGUCAGGGCUUCAGGACCUUCUCUGCAGGGGCUGCAGGGGUCUUGGGCCUGGGGUGGGCAGCAGGGAGUCCUGUGUACUGGCACUGCCCUGGUACCUGUUGUCUGUUGGCAGAGGCCACUUUUCCUCAAGGGACUCGCCUGGGCCCCAGGAUGGCGCCCAGAUCUGCUGAUGUGAGCUGGUUGCUGAACAAUCAGUAGUACGUGAAAUGUUUCUCAGAGGAAUUAGCUGCCACUUCCUAAGCAGAAAUGUUGCAAUGCCCUGAGUUACUGGAUGGAGUGGUUGUCUCAAUCGGGGUGGGAAACCUCACCUGUCAUUAGCAACAGAAGAACUUAUUUAUGCUUCUGGCUGUGUAAAAAUCAUUACCUGACAGGAGAAGCCUACAGAGGCAAAGCUCUACAUGCCACAAAGAUGGAGAUAUUAAUGGAGGGCACACACUGAGAAUGACACUUCCAUUUUCCAGAAGCAUAAAAUGGUAUUUUUUCCCCAUAGAAAUUGUGAAAAAGAGAAGCUAUUAUGGUUCAACAUUUAGACAGGCAUUAAAGCACUUUUGAUACAAAUUGAUUUUUUUUUUUUUUACUCCCGUGGACUGAAUUCAUUAGCAAAUGAGUUGGAUUUCCUACUUUCAGGAUCCGGACAAACAGGAAGGUUGUUCUAGUGUCUCCUUUCUCUUUCCCACUUUGAUCCUCUUGAAUCUGUGCUGUCCAGAACUGUAGCCAUUAAUGAUAUGUGGCUAUCCAAAGAAAAAUUAAAAUAAUAUAAAAUUACAAACUAAAUUCCUCAGUUGUGCCAGCCACAUUUCAUUCAAAUGCUUGACAGUCACACAUAGUUGGCACAGAUAUAGAACAUUACCAUCCUCACAGAAUAUUCUAUUUUUUUAGGUUUGUAUAUUUUUUUUUUAGUAAUUUCUACACCCAACAUGGGGCUUGAACUCACAACCCUGAGAUCAAGGGUCCUGCACUCUACCAAUUGAGCCAGGCAGGUGUCCCCAGAAUGUUCUAUGGUACUACUAAUUGACCUUUUUAUUAAAGUUAACUGUGUGUUUUGGGGUAGUAUUUAUUUACUUAUUUAUUUUUACAUAUUUUAUUUCUUUAUUUGAGGGAGAGGGAGGGACAGAGAGAGAGAGAGAGAGAGAGAAUCUGAAGCAGACUCCUCGCUGAGCACAGGGCCUGACAUGCAGUUCCAUCUACCACCCAGAGAUCAUGACCUGAGCUGAAACCAAGAGUUGGUCACUCAACUGACUAAGCCACCAGGGGCCCCUGGGGUAGUAUUUAUUAAACAGUACUUUUGUAGCCUAUAUGUAAUUUAAAUAACAAGUCACUGAAACACUUAGUAGUAUUUCCUCCUAAAUCUCUUCUUCCCCAGACCCCUCCACAUGCACAGACCUCACUGCCUCAAUGUCCCAGCUACCUAGCUACAUGAAGUUGUUUCUUAUGUGGUUCUUCUUAGAAAUGAAAAGUUCUCCCAGAUUUUCUAAAUUGUAGGUCUGCAAGCCCAGGAGAAGGUAUAAAUGUUUGAUGGCAGCAGACAAGUGCCAUUGGCCAAUGGCCAAUGGCCUCACUGUGUCAGGGCCACUGCUGCUGGCCCCUCUUCCAACUGCCUUGUGAACCACCUCAGAUCCUUAUCAGCCUGACCACCCAUUGCCCCUGGAGACCAUCCUUUUAUUGGUGCGACAGUGUCCAUGUGGCAAAAAUGUGACCUGAGUCACUAAAGACAAAACUUCCUUAUGCCUACAAGGUGCUGCUGAAUGGCUGUGGGCCUCCAGUGGCCGUCAACUCAGGUUACACGUGGCUUUAUCAAGGGAAUUUAAUGGAAAGUGAUUUCUUCGCUACAGUAUUUGCAAUCAGUGUAAAAGUAGGUUUGGUCUUUUUUGCUUUGUUUUUAAUUCUGAAGCACAAAAUCUUUACUGAGAGUAGUUAUUCUUGCAUCAUUUAACUUAGAAUCCUACCGUGCUGCUCUCCCUGAAGCUUGCAGGAUAAAUGGCACUUUUACAACCCACCGGAAAUUAAGUGCUAUUUGACUGACAGCAUUAUAGCUCUCUUGGAAAAGUCUGUGGCCACCGCUCUCAGUUCUCAAAUUUGAUCAGCCCCCAGCCCUCCCAGAACAUGCAGGAAGUCAGGUCACUAGCCUAGUUAGCAUUCCUGUGGUUAAACCUCAUUCUGGAUAGACAUUGAAUGUUGUUGGCUGGACAGGCUUUCAGAUCCAAAGGCAGGUACCUCUGUGGAGCCUCAUGGGGCCCCUCCCAGGGAGGGGUUGAUUUGGAGGUCCAUGGCACCGCAAGAUGAGUAGACCAUUUUCAGGACUGGCCCUGGGGCCACUGCUCCCCUUAUCCAUUUCUCAGCUGGGGAGGCUUCCCUAUACCUGUUUGUGCUGUGGGUAAAGUCUGAAAGGCUCUCCUGUUGAUAGAAGCCCUCUGCAAAUGCAGUCUCAUCAGCCUAUUGAAAAGCAGUAAUACUCCAUUGUUUCUCAAAGAAUCCUUGCAAUUAGAGGAGGCAGAGGAGAAAUUAUUACAGAGCUAAGUUAUUAGAUCCGUUCCAUGGAACAUUUUUUAAAAACCAAGCUCAUUUUCCUGAGAGAAAAUUUAAUGCAAUCGCUCUCUCUUAAAGCACCUGAUGCCACCACUCUGCCUCUAGCUGUAAGCUGUCGACCGAAAACAAGGGGGUUGCUGUGAUGAGAACAUGGCUGGGGGUGUGCGCCAGGCAGGACAACGCCAAGAAGCCAAAAAGAACAAGAGGGAAAACAAUGAAGUGAGAUCCACCCAGAUGGUAAACAUAGCUCUAGAACUCAACAAACACACACGUGGGCCCCCCCUUCGGUGGGAGGUGUGGAGGGAGUGGGGGUAGCAGCUCACAGGUCAGUCUAGAAAUGAACAGAAACUCGUAGGGGUCCAAGAAGACUGCACCCUAACUGGGGUCGCUAUCACCAUGGUAUGUCUGGGAGCCCCCCGUUGAGUGUCUGCUCUGGCCAAGGCUGGGGGAUGGGUGUAUCAGAACAAAGAAUUCAUAGGAUCCAGCAAGAGCCAUCCCCUCUGCCCGCUUUCUGCAAUUAUUAGCAAUAGUAGGAGUGGCUACAGUUUCCUGAGUGCUUACUCUCCUAGGCACUGAGCCCUCACAAAGUAGGUAUGAUUCCCGUUUUAUAGAUAAAGAAGCUGAGUGACAGUGAAGUUAAGUGAAAAAAUCCUGUAGCAGGUGCAUAAACCACGAAUUAAACCCUGCUGAGAACAUCUCAGGACUUUCAAUUCUCUGGGUUAACUAGGUCCUCAUUGCACAUGGUGGAUCAAGGAAGGUGAUUUUUUUUUUUUUUUUUUUUUUAUGAUUUGGGAGUUGUUGUGAGCUUUUUAAAACUAUACACCAUGUUCAAAUUCAACUGUUACCUGUGUUAUUCAUAUUACUAAAUCAUUUAUUUUGACUGAGUAAAAGGAAUUGGUUUAGAGAGACACUUAAUGUAAUCUAUUCUUCAAAUUUGUGGAGAUUUUUGUAACGCCCUCAAUGUUUCUUUUUAGUGGGUGUGGGAGAGCCGGGGACAGGAAGGAAGGUGGGGUGUUAAAAGGCAAACAUAGAAAAGAUUCUUCAUAAAAAAAGAAAACACGUCUAGAAAUGAUUGCUCCAUAAACAAAACAUGAGUGCACACAGCAAUUUCAUGUUCUCGUUCCACCCACUCGGUUGUUCUUAAUGAUUCAAGAACAGAACUGCCUGGGCAGAUUUACAGGCUCUGCGUUCCUGACAUCUGUGCCGAAACAAGGCUAUGUGUGUAUGUGCGUGUGUGUGUGUUCACAGAGCGCUUGCUUCUGCUGGGGUGGGGGUGGGGGGCUGUGUGGAAACACAAAUACCUUGAUUUGAAUUUUACCUUUACCAUGAUUUAAAUGAAAAUACAUGCAGUUUAUUCUCCCAUAUGCAUCCAUGGUCUGUUAGGAUAUAAGAAUAGGUGCUGGCAAAGAAGACAGGGUAGCCUUGGAGUCUGGGGUUUGGAUGAGAUGUGAUGAUCACACAAUCACGUGUUAAAAACCACGACUUCUCCAGCUCUCCUCACUGUCUCCUCACUCUCCUCACUGAAAGCCAGGCUUCAACGUCAGUCUCUUGCUGGAAAUCUUUGGGUUGUUGGGAUCGGUGCUUUAGCAAAUUAUUCUUCUGGGUCAGUGUCAGUGGAGAGCGGGGUUGUGGCUGGGGUUUCCAGGCCCAGGGCAAGCGGCCCUUGACUUGGGCUUCCUGAGUUUCUCAGUUGUGGUUUUGGGAAUGUCAUACUCUCUCCAGUCCCCUUUCUUUCAAGGGGGAGAUUUGCCUUCCAUUAGACACUUUUCCUAGAUUUAUAACUUCCUCCAACCCUUUUCUUCCAUGGCUUUGCUUCCCCCAGACUGUCAUGGAGAUAGUCAGAAGCCUGACCAUUUCUUGGAAGGAAGACCUCCAGACUGACCUCCCUGUCUCUCCACCCCAACUUGGCCAUCAGGAAUCACCUGGCAAGCUAUGCCCAGGUACUAGUGAUCACAGGCUGGUACCUUUGCUACCUGAUAACACAAUAAUCCUGUGAUUUAGAUCCUUCAUUUUGCCUCUGAGACUUAAGAGUGGAGAAGUCACUCUCCCAAGGUAACUGAACUUGUCAGUAGGAAUAUCUAGGAUUCAUACCCAGGCUGGUCUGAUGUUCUAGCCAAGUUCCUGUCACUCUCUUUCAGAAGGUGAUCUGAAGUUAGACCUAUGACUUUGUGUUUCUGUGUUGCAGAAACUAUAGAAAUGCCAAAUCUCCACUGUUUAAGAGCCUGAGGCGGAAGGAGAAGCAAGUAAAAUUAUGAUUUGGUAUUUGAAAAUCAUGUGAUUUUUUAUUUUCACACUGAUGCUAAAAGAUUGGCUAUUAUUUUAGUGGGAUACUCAUCUCUUUGGCCUUCAACCUUUCAAGAUAGAUUCCACAUCUUUAGGGGCUAUUUUCAUACUGGGUCCUAUCUGAGGCUCUGGUUUGUUGUCCCAUGGUCUUAACUAAUAUUUACCAAUCUUGGGGAAAGGAAGAGGGAAAAGCAAAAAGGACAUAAGUAUACGGUUUGAGAAAAUGGAAAGAUUUUUAGGUUACAAGUUUUAUUGUAACCAGCUAACUUUAUACAAACACAGCAUCCAGUGGACUUAAAAUUCUAAUCCUUUAUAUCAUGCUAAAUCGAUUUUUGGUUCAUAUCAGUGAAUAGAUCCAGUUUUACAGUUUUUGUUCAAUAUUAUUUUCCAUAUAGAGUUCCAUAUAUUUACAUACUUUCUUCUAAUUUUUUAAGCACAUAUAAUCUUAUUUCAUUUUUUAAAUUCUCUUCUUCUUUUCUUCUUCUUCUUCUUCUUCUUCUUCUUCUUCUUCUUCUUCUUCUUCUUCUUCUUCUUCUUCUUCUUCUUCUUCUUCUUUUCUUCUUCUUCUCCUUCUCAGAGAGAGAGAGAGAGAGCCCAGAGCAGGGGCAGAGGGAGAAGGAGAGAGAGAAUCUUAAGUAGGCUUCAUGCCCCCAAUAUGGGGCUCAAUUUCCAACCCUGAGGUCGUAACCGGAACCAAAAUCAAGAGUCCACUGCUUAACUGACUGAGCCAGCCAGGUGCCUCUGAUCUUAUUUAAUUCUUGCCAUCACCCUGUUAAGUUGAAAAUUUUAUUUUGUGGCCGAGAGAGGUUAAGGAACUAGCCCAAGGUCACAAGUCUAGUGUAGAGCUGGGACCCGGACAUACUUUCAGUGGCUCUGGAGCACCCCAUGUUUUGAUAUUGGUUAGAGUCACAAAGAUUUUUCUAAAGACAAAAGGUUCUCCACCUGAAAAGAAAAUGAUCCAUCAACAUUUACCUUCUUGAGACCCAGGUUUUUCAUCUCUUUUUUCACUUGAUCACCAGUUUCCAUGGCCAUCAGGGUGCUCAUGUAAAUAACUACACAGGACGGUCACUCGUUUCUCACAGCAAUGUGCGGAGAUGAUGUUUGUUCUUUUGUUCAUUUGAUCAUCAUCAUUCAUUCAUUAAUUAACUCAUUUAUCCAACAGCCCUGUGAAGAAGAACCACUAUAGUGUUAACACUAAUGGGCAGAACAAUCCUCCAGUGAUCCCUCAUGUGGUUUGUUACUUGGAGACUGUCGCUCACUAGACUCCUCACAUCUAUGCAAGGGACGAGUAAAGAAUAUUCUAAAUUAAUUGGUAGCUUAGGGUGUAAGUGCACGAAAACAUUUUAAAAUUCUAAUUUUUAUGCCUUUUGGGGGCCUUGUGCUAUUUGUGUGUAUAUGGACUUACAAACAGAUAUGCGUGCUUGCUGUAAAAUAUUGCAACAUUGCUGACAUAUGUGAUACAGAGAGUGAGAAUCUCCAGGAGUUAGGAACCACCCUCUGACCCACACUGGAGAAGGCUAAUCCUUCCAUUCUAUGUAUAGGACAACAUUAUGUUAUAUAUACUAAAUCUGUAUAGAUGAUGUUAAUGUAAAGUUGCAGGAAUCUUGUUUUGGAUUUCAACUUUUUUCUAUGCAUAAUUAAGUGUAUUUAAAAUGCUUUAAAAUAAAUUAUGA